CCUACGGGAGGCUGCAGUGAGGAAUAUUGGUCAAUGGACGAGAGUCUGAACCAGCCAAGUAGCGUGAAGGAUGACUGCCCUAUGGGUUGUAAACUUCUUUUAUAUGGGAAUAAAACGUUCCACGUGUGGGAUUUUGUAUGUACCAUAUGAAUAAGGAUCGGCUAACUCCGUGCCAGCAGCCGCGGUAAUACGGAGGAUCCGAGCGUUAUCCGGAUUUAUUGGGUUUAAUGGGAGCGUAGGUGGAUUGUUAAGUCAGUUGUGAAAGUUUGCGGCUCAACCGUAAAAUUGCAGUUGAAACUGGCAGUCUUGAGUACAGUAGAGGUGGGCGGAAUUCGUGGUGUAGCGGUGAAAUGCUUAGAUAUCACGAAGAACUCCGAUGGCGAAGGCAGUUCACUGGACUGCAACUGACACUGAGGCUCGAAAGUGUGGGUAUCAAACAGGAUUAGAUACCCCAGUAGUC
Molecule: ribosomal RNA, 460 nt
Filed under: uncultured bacterium
Lineage: Bacteria
Description: partial 16S ribosomal RNA
Rfam family: Bacterial small subunit ribosomal RNA
Source: RNAcentral